Long non-coding RNA from Equus caballus (horse), 1310 nucleotides. RefSeq lists it as uncharacterized. NCBI's taxonomy places the organism in Eukaryota, Metazoa, Chordata, Mammalia, Perissodactyla, Equidae. The record is from RefSeq and is a predicted model, not a curated record.
CCGCUCUUAGGUGGAUGUGUAAAGCAUCUACACAGACGAAGCCGCGCUUCCGGGCUGCUCUUCGGGGCCUUUUAUGAAAAUGCUGGAAAGUUCUUGCAGGACCACAGAUUUCGGGCGUCUCUGCCGUAGGGUGCCACAUGUCCUGAUGCUGGCGCUGGUUUGGGGCCACCAGGAGAAGAGCGGAAGUCUCGUGCCCAACCCCCCGCCCUCCAAUCACUGAGACAACACCAGCAGCCACUUACCUGGAGAUGCGCUGUUAGAGGAGAGAAAAUGAAAGCCACGCUCUGUGCCGUCGGUUUCUGUUCCAGCUGAUGGAAAUCCCUGACUGAUGAAUGAAAACUAGAGGAAAAGCUCCAAGAGAACAGAACCGGGAGAGACGCUUUCCCCCCUCUCGAGGAGCACGGGGCGAUGCGUCUGGCCUGGGUUCGAGGUGCAAACCUGUUAUCUCGUUCUGUGCCCCUGAGCCAGUCACUCUGCCCCCCAAGGCCCACUGUCAAGGCAGGACCACCGCGCUCUGACUCCCCCAUGCCCACAACUGUCGUGAUGUCCUCCUGCUGUGCCGUGGGCCCCAGGACCCAGGUAUCAGAAGCACAGAUUUCCACCUCCCUCGCAGUUGCAGGCUGGGGGACAAAGGAGCACCCCUCUGGUGGGAUGGGCACAGUUCCAAAAGGAAAUAAGUAGCUGAAGUUAUUUCACGCACACCACAGCUCAAAGUCUGAUGACACGCGGCCAAUCCCUCUGCAGCGAGGCCUUUGGAAAUCGCAGUGUCCCCGGGAAGAGCCUCAGACACCUGCUGUGUCAUUUCCAAGACCGUCUUCUCCAGGAAACGGCACAGUGAGCAAGCCAGCUCAUCACCACAUUCCUGAAGCUCGUCUGGUUAUAGUCGGAGCCCCUAAAUUUGGCUUAGGAGCCUGCUUGACCCAGGGCUUCCUGGAGACCUAUGAUCUUGUGAAUACAAGACCGGGGCGGUGAUGCUGUACAGGGGUCAGUUUAGGAGGCAGCACCAUCCCGAGCUGCACGAGGCAGAGAACAGAAGGCACCCUUCGCGCCUCUCCUCCUCUCAUUCUUUGACUGGAGGACCUAAAACAGGUGGAAGACGCUGGCAGCCUGGCAGAACUGUGGCUGUCGCUGUCGGCAGGACCGACAGCUCAGAAGGAGCCUGCCACACACUCGACACCGAGUAACUUAUCAACCUGGAAUUCAACGAAUUUGCUAGUCACUGAGUUUUGGGUUUAAACAACUAAACAAAGCGCCUAAAAAACAAAAAAAAAAACCCAAAACAGAAACAAAAAUAAUUAUUGAUUUCAAGA